AACGAACGCUGGCGGCAUGCCUAACACAUGCAAGUCGAACGAGACCUUCGGGUCUAGUGGCGCACGGGUGCGUAACGCGUGGGAACCUGCCCUUAGGUUCGGAAUAACUCCCCGAAAGGGGUGCUAAUACCGGAUAAUGUCUUCGGACCAAAGAUUUAUCGCCUUUGGAUGGGCCCGCGUUGGAUUAGCUAGUUGGUAGGGUAAAAGCCUACCAAGGCGACGAUCCAUAGCUGGUCUGAGAGGAUGAUCAGCCACACUGGGACUGAGACACGGCCCAGACUCCUACGGGAGGCAGCGGUGGGGAAUAUUGGACAAGGGGGGAAAGCCUGAUCCAGCAAUGCCGGGGGAGUGAUGAAGGCCUUGGGGUUGUAAAGCUUUUUUCCCCGGGAUGAUAAUGACAGUACCGGGAGAAUAAGCUCCGGCUAACUCCGU
RNAcentral lists this ribosomal RNA (432 nucleotides) under uncultured bacterium. RNAcentral describes it as "partial 16S ribosomal RNA". It matches the Rfam family "Bacterial small subunit ribosomal RNA", at positions 29 to 506 of the family's 1533-position model. The record is from RNAcentral.